RNAcentral lists this ribosomal RNA (455 nucleotides) under uncultured bacterium. Its description in RNAcentral is "bacterial SSU rRNA". It matches the Rfam family "Bacterial small subunit ribosomal RNA", at positions 340 to 786 of the family's 1533-position model. The record is from RNAcentral.
UACGGAACGCAGCAGUGGGGAAUAUUGCACAAUGGGCGAAAGCCUGAUGCAGCUAUGCCGCGUGUAUGAAGAAGGCCUUAGGGUUGUAAAGUACUUUCAUCGGGGAGGAAAAACAAAACUAAUAAUUUUAUUUCUUGACGUUACCCGAAAAAGAAGCACCGGCUAACUCCGUGCCAGCAGCCGCGGUAAUACGGAGGGUGCUAGCGUUAAUCAGAAUUACUGGGCGUAAAGAGCACGUAGGUGGUUUUUUUAAGUCAGAUGUGAAAUCCCUGGGCUUAACCUAGGAACUGCAUUUUGAAACUGAAAUACUAGAGUAUCGUAGAGGGAGGUAGAAUUCUAGGUGUAGCGGUGAAAUGCGUAGAUAUCUGGAGGAAUACCUGUGGCGAAAGCGGCCUCCUAAACGAAUACUGACACUGAGGUGCGAAAGCGUGGGGAGCAAACAGGGAUUAGAUACC